UGGGCUGGGUUAGCUCGACCCGUGUACUGGGUGGGCUGGAUGGCACGGUUGCGGUGCAGGAAGGCGGACCACAAGUGGUCGGUGGGUUGAUGUGGUUUCGACCAGCGGC
This 109-nucleotide small nucleolar RNA is filed under the name Leersia perrieri. Its description in RNAcentral is "Small nucleolar RNA Z206". It matches the Rfam family "Small nucleolar RNA Z206". Rfam says of the family: Z206 is a member of the C/D class of snoRNA which contain the C (UGAUGA) and D (CUGA) box motifs. Most of the members of the box C/D family function in directing site-specific 2'-O-methylation of substrate RNAs. The record is from Rfam by way of RNAcentral. Lineage: Eukaryota; Viridiplantae; Streptophyta; Magnoliopsida; Poales; Poaceae.